RNAcentral lists this ribosomal RNA (257 nucleotides) under uncultured bacterium. RNAcentral's name for it is "partial 16S ribosomal RNA". It matches the Rfam family "Bacterial small subunit ribosomal RNA", at positions 255 to 504 of the family's 1533-position model. The record is from RNAcentral.
GGGUAACGGCCUACCAAGGCGACGAUGCAUAGCCGACCUGAGAGGGCGAACGGCCACAUUGGGACUGAGACACGGCCCAAACUCCUACGGGAGGCAGCAGUAGGGAAUUUUCGUCAAUGGGGGGAACCCUGAACGAGCAAUGCCGCGUGAGUGAAGACGGUUUUCGGACUGUAAAGCUCUGUUGUAAGAGAAAAACGGCCGACAUAGGGAAUGAUGUCGGAGUGAUGGUAUCUUACCAGAAAGUCACGGCUAACUAC